CUACGGGAGGCAGCAAUCAGGAAUAUUGCGCAAUGGGGGAAACCCUGACGCAGCGACGCCGCGUGCGGGAUGAAGGCCUUCGGGUCGUAAACCGCUGUUGUGGGAGACGAGGAGGGGGUGACGAGCCCCCUGGGACGGUAUCCCACGAGGAAGCCCCGGCUAACUACGUGCCAGCAGCCGCGGUAAUACGUAGGGGGCGAGCGUUGUCCGAAGUUACUGGGCGUAAAGCGCGCGUAGGCGGCUCUUUAAGUGACUGGUGAAAUCCCCGGGCUCAACUCGGGUAGGUCUGGUCAUACUGGGGAGCUGGAGUGUGGGAGAGGUGAGUGGAACUCCUGGUGUAGCGGUGAUAUGCGUAGAGAUCAGGAAGAACACCCGUGGCGAAGGCGGCUCACUGGACCACAACUGACGCUGAGGCGCGAAAGCCAGGGGAGCGAACGGGAUUAGAUACCCUGGUAGA
Molecule: ribosomal RNA, 457 nt
Filed under: uncultured bacterium
Lineage: Bacteria
Description: bacterial SSU rRNA
Rfam family: Bacterial small subunit ribosomal RNA
Source: RNAcentral